This 254-nucleotide ribosomal RNA is filed under the name uncultured bacterium. RNAcentral describes it as "partial 16S ribosomal RNA". It matches the Rfam family "Bacterial small subunit ribosomal RNA", at positions 524 to 776 of the family's 1533-position model. The record is from RNAcentral.
UACGUAGGGCGCAAGCGUUGUCCGGAAUUAUUGGGCGUAAAGAGCUCGUAGGCGGUCUGUCACGUCUGCCGUGAAAACCCGAGGCUUAACCUCGUGGCUUGCGGUGGAUACGGGCAGACUAGAGGUAGGUAGGGGAGAACGGAAUUCCCGGUGUAGCGGUGAAAUGCGCAGAUAUCGGGAGGAACACCGGCGGCGAAAGCGGUUCUCUGGGCCUUACCUGACGCUGAGGAGCGAAAGCAUGGGGAGCGAACAGG